RNAcentral lists this ribosomal RNA (486 nucleotides) under uncultured bacterium. RNAcentral's name for it is "bacterial SSU rRNA". It matches the Rfam family "Bacterial small subunit ribosomal RNA", at positions 28 to 509 of the family's 1533-position model. The record is from RNAcentral.
GAUGAACGCUAGCGGCAGGCCUAACACAUGCAAGUCGAGGGGCAGCACAGGUAGCAAUACUGGGUGGCGACCGGCGGAUGGGUGCGUAACGCGUAUGCAACCUACCAUUGAUUGGGGCAUAGCCCGAAGAAAUUCGGAUUAAUACUCCAUAAUAUUCAUCAAAGGCAUCUUUUAUGAAUUAAAGCUUUUGCGAUCAAUGAUGGGCAUGCGUGACAUUAGUUAGUUGGUGAGGUAACGGCUCACCAAAACGAUGAUGUCUAGGGGUUCUGAGAGGAUUAUCCCCCACACUGGUACUGAGACACGGACCAGACUCCUACGGGAGGCAGCAGUGACGGAAUAUUGGUCAAUGGACGCAAGUCUGAACCAGCCAUGCCGCGUGCAGGAUGACGGCCCUAUGGGUUGUAAACUGCUUUUCCACGGGAAGAACCCUCCGACGUGUCGGAGACUGACGGUACCGUGGGAAUAAGCAUCGGCUAACUCCGUGCC